This is a long non-coding RNA of Ruditapes philippinarum (Manila clam), 347 nucleotides long. RefSeq lists it as uncharacterized. The transcript is spliced from 2 exons. The record is from RefSeq and is a predicted model, not a curated record. Lineage: Eukaryota; Metazoa; Mollusca; Bivalvia; Venerida; Veneridae.
UGAUUUGGUAAGGAAGGCAUAAUGUUGUAUAAAUUUUGUGGAAUGUAACUGAAAUCAUACUUGACCUGUGUUUUGAUAUAUUGUUGAAUAUACCAGUUAUAAAUUGAAUCCUUAAAAGGUGUACAAAUCUUAUUGGUUAGCUUACAAGAGCAUUUCUGUUUUCAUAUUUUACUAGGUAAAGUACAAAGAAAUGAUAUUGUUAUAAUUUUAUGAGCCAUCACAUCAAACCGUGAUCAAUGUAAUAUGAAGUAUGGGAAAAUAAGUAACAAGAAGUGCAUGUUUAACUAAAACAGAAUGUAUGAUUCAGAGGAAAACUGUAAAAAUAAAGUAAAUAAUGUUAAAAAAAA